This 195-nucleotide ribosomal RNA is filed under the name uncultured bacterium. RNAcentral describes it as "partial 16S rRNA". It matches the Rfam family "Bacterial small subunit ribosomal RNA", at positions 338 to 525 of the family's 1533-position model. The record is from RNAcentral.
CCUACGGGAGGCAGCAGUGGGGAAUUUUGGACAAUGGGCGCAAGCCUGAUCCAGCCAUGCCGCGUGAGUGAAGAAGGCCUUCGGGUUGUAAAGCUCUUUCAGACGGAAAGAAAUCUCCUGGGCUAAUACCCCGGGAGGAUGACGGUACCGUAAGAAGAAGCACCGGCUAACUACGUGCCAGCAGCCGCGGUAAUA